UACAGAGGGUGCGAGCGUUGUCCGGAAUCACUGGGCGUAAAGGGCGCGUAGGUGGCCUGAUAAGUCGGGGGUGAAACGCUGCGGCUCAACCGCAGCACUGCCUUCGAGACUGUCAGGCUUGAGCACGGUAGAGGCUGGUGGAAUUCCCGGUGUAGCGGUGGAAUGCGUAGAGAUCGGGAGGAACACCUGUGGCGAAAGCGGCGCACUGGACCACAACUGACGCUGAGGCGCGAAAGCUAGGGGAGCAAUCAGG
This 253-nucleotide ribosomal RNA is filed under the name uncultured prokaryote. RNAcentral describes it as "partial 16S ribosomal RNA". It matches the Rfam family "Bacterial small subunit ribosomal RNA", at positions 524 to 776 of the family's 1533-position model. The record is from RNAcentral.